ACAUGUGAGGGUCAUCUGGCUGGAACAUCUGUCAACCCAUUGAUCUCUAGGGUUGACUCUGCUGAUCUGGCUGGCUAGGUGGGCGUCCCCUUCCUGCCUCACCACUCCAUGUGCAUCCACCCCAGAGCAGCUGCUGCUCCCUGAAGAGAGCAGGACCCAUCUUUGGUCAAGGGUGUACAAGUAGCUGCUCUCCCCUGCUAGAACCCCCAAACAAACUCUCUAGGACAAAGGGGCCAGGAUGUAGGUGGAGUAAGUCAGAGUCGCCAGCUCCCAGAAACACAGUGGUCUGAUUCUGUGU
Unclassified non-coding RNA from Cricetulus griseus (Chinese hamster), 298 nucleotides. Its record names the gene 7SK. It matches the Rfam family "7SK RNA". Rfam says of the family: 7SK was discovered as an abundant small nuclear RNA in the mid-70s but a possible function has only recently been suggested. Two independent studies have found that 7SK RNA binds the CDK9/cyclin T complex (known as elongation factor P-TEFb). P-TEFb activates transcription by phosphorylating the C-terminal domain of RNA polymerase II. Lineage: Eukaryota; Metazoa; Chordata; Mammalia; Rodentia; Cricetidae. The record is from Ensembl.